GUGGGGAAUAUUCCGCAAUGGACGAAAGUCUGACGGAGCAACGCCGCGUGAGUGAUGAAGGUUUUCGGACUGUAAAGCUCUGUUGUUUAGGACGAAAGUGCCUGUUGCAAAUAGUUACAGGUAUUGACGGUACUGAACGAGGAAGCCACGGCUAACUACGUGCCAGCAGCCGCGGUAAUACGUAGGUGGCAAGCGUUGUCCGGAAUUAUUGGGCGUAAAGAGCAUGUAGGCGGGAAUCUAAGUCUGUUGUGAAAAUGCGGGGCUCAACCCCGUAUUGCGAUGGAAACUGGGUUUCUUGAGUGCAGGAGAGGAAAGGGGAAUUCCCAGUGUAGCGGUGAAAUGCGUAGAUAUUGGGAGGAACACCAGUGGCGAAGGCGGCUUCCUGGCACAAUACUGACGCUCAUGUGCGAAAGCUAGGGCAGCGAACGGGAUUAGAAACCCCGGUAGUCC
Molecule: ribosomal RNA, 450 nt
Filed under: uncultured bacterium
Lineage: Bacteria
Description: partial 16S ribosomal RNA
Rfam family: Bacterial small subunit ribosomal RNA
Source: RNAcentral